CCUACGGGUGGCAGCAGUGAGGAAUAUUGGUCAAUGGGCGCGAGCCUGAACCAGCCAAGUAGCGUGAAGGAUGACUGCCCUACGGGGUGUAAACUUCGUUUAUAAAGGAAUAAAGUGAGGCACGUGUGCCUUUGUGUAUGUACUGUAUGAAUAAGGAGCGGCUAACUCCGUGCCAGCAGCCGCGGUAAUACGGAGGAUCCGAGCGUUAUCCGGAUUUAUUGGGUUUAAAGGGAGCGUAGAUGGGUUGUUAAGUCAGUUGUGAAAGUUUGCGGCUCAACCGUAAAAUUGCAAUUGAUACUGGCAGUCUUGAGUACCGUUGCGGUAGGCGGAAUUCGUGUUGUAGCGGUGACAUGCUUCGCUCUCCC
Molecule: ribosomal RNA, 365 nt
Filed under: uncultured bacterium
Lineage: Bacteria
Description: partial 16S ribosomal RNA
Rfam family: Bacterial small subunit ribosomal RNA
Source: RNAcentral